CUUAACACAUGCAAGUCGAGGGGCAGCACAAGGCAGCAAUGCUGAGGUCGGCGACCGGCGCACGGGUGCGUAACGCGUAUCCAACCUUCCCGUUACUCUUGGAUAGCCUUCCGAGAGGGAGAUUAAUACAAGAUGGUGUUGAAAUUCCGCAUGUUAUUUCAACUAAAGAUUUAUCGGUAACGGAUGGGGAUGCGUGACAUUAGAUAGAUGGCGGGGUAACGGCCCACCAUGUCCACGAUGUCUAGGGGUUCUGAGAGGAAGGUCCCCCACACUGGAACUGAGACACGGUCCAGACUCCUACGGGAGGCAGCAGUGAGGAAUAUUGGUCAAUGGCCGGAAGGCUGAACCAGCCAAGUAGCGUGAAGGAUGAAGGUUCUAUGGAUUGUAAACUUCUUUUAUACGGGAAUAAAACCUCCCACGUGUGGGAGCUUGUAUGUACCGUAUGAAUAAGCAUCGGCUAACUCCGUG
Molecule: ribosomal RNA, 468 nt
Filed under: uncultured bacterium
Lineage: Bacteria
Description: bacterial SSU rRNA
Rfam family: Bacterial small subunit ribosomal RNA
Source: RNAcentral